GAAAGAGAAAAUGACUCAGUUUCCAACCUAAAGAACGAUAACAAGACCCCGAAAGGAGACUUCAUGUCGACAUCCGUUUUCAGCUCACCUCCACCGGCCUGAGCUCUGUUAGCAAAGGUCACCGAUCGUCCUACAAGUGGGAAGGUGACACGCUGUCUGUCCACAGCCGGCCUGGGAAGGGGAGGGCUGCGAGGAGAGUGGUGUCUGAGGGGGCCUGACCCUCCCCGGGCAGACUGGGCCCAGCACAUGACACCUGCAGCGUCCGGUCACCUGCCCGGAGCUCCAUCAACAGGAUCUUCAAAGCCAUUUCAGGGGGAACCGCCUCGUUCCAGCCGGAGCACCCCAGAUGUCUACCCGGUGACUGCCUUCCCCCGGGAAUCCUGGAGCAAGCUUCAUGGAAAAAUCCCAUCAGAGCGUGAGAGUUUCCGCCUUUCAUCCCACACAGGGCGACUCAGCCUCCUGCUCCUACGCACGUCCUGGAAAUCAUUCAGUGGCGGGAGGAGGAGUGAGCCCCGUGAGGGGAGGAUUGUCCUCCAAACCGCCCCCACCCCGCGACUCCGGGCCACCCCACAAGGGUUCACUGAGCACCAGCUGUGCACCCGGCUCUGCUGCGCAGGCGGCCACGGCCCUGCCUCCCGGAACGUGGCAGGAUUCCCCAUCAAGUGCAUUUCGGACACGACCCAGCUCGGUACUGCCGCUCCUCCUGCUCUGCUGCCAGCACGGAGGAUUUUGUCUGCCGCAGAUCUUAGUAGAAACCAGUGAUGGGCACUCACAGCCGAAGUGGCUGCUUCUCAUUUCCUGUUGCGUCUCACCUUUCACGCAUACCCCAGAGGAAAACGGCCGCGAUGGAGACGUCCGACUUGGGGUAGGGCCAGGAGAAUAUCGGAGGGAGAGCUCCUCUGGGUCCCCUACACAGAGACGCUGGGGUGCUAACCAAUACUGGUUUUGAGAUGAGGGCUUCCCAGCGGGUGGAAGUCCCAGCUCCUGGUACGUGAGUGUUGGCAGCAGCGUCUUCUGAUGUCGUGGGGUUGAGCUGAGGUUCUGCAGGAGUGGGGCUGGGCCCGUGACCCACAGGGACUGAUGUUCUUUGGGAGAGAAGGCACAGGCAGCCGAGCUCAGGAGGAGGACAGCCCCGUGUAGACGGAAGCAGGGGUCGGAGCUUCGUGGCUGCAGCCAAGGAAUCCCAAGGGCUGGGGGCUGCUGCGGGAGCCGGGAGACAGGCCUGGCACGGCCCCGUCCUGGAGGCAGCCCGGCCCUGCAGACGCCUUGAGGAAUGUGUGGACGUCUGUGCUUCAAAGGCGCCAGGUGUGCGGUAAUCUGGUACGGCGGCCGCAGGAAGUAUCCGGACACCCGGGAAGUCAGCCCAGCUGCGGGGGACACCGCUUGCAGCCCGGACGUCCCGGACUGGAGCGCCAGUUCCAGUCCCGGCUGCUCCACUUCCCAGUCAGCUCCCUGCUAAUGGGCCUGGGAAAGCAGCGGAAGAUGACCCAUGCUUGGACUUCCGCCAUCCGUGUGGGGGACCAGGAUGGAGUUCUUAGCUCCUGGCUUCAUCCUGGCCACUGUGGCCACUUGGGAAGGGAACCAGGGAAUGGAAGAUUCUCUCUAAGUCUGCCUUUCAAAUGUAUAUAUAUAUGUAUAUAUAUAUAUGCACACACACAUAUGUGUAUAUAUAUAGUGAGAGAGAGAGAAGAGAGAGAGAGAGAGAGAACGCUCACCUCGGGGCCGACACUGAGGCCUUUCCUACUCCCAGGUUACUCGUCCUCUGGGUGAUGGCACCAGCAGGGCGAGGCCCAGCAAUGCCCAGCCGGGAGGAGCUGCGCCCGCAGGGGAGCCGAGUCCUAGUGGCAGGGUGAUAGGAACCUCCCUGCUCCCUUGCCCACCGCAUGGAGGAGGACCACGGCUGUAGUAGCUAAGCAAGUAGCCCAGAAGAGUGGAGAGAAAUUAGGAGC
RNAcentral lists this long non-coding RNA (1949 nucleotides) under Oryctolagus cuniculus (rabbit). RNAcentral describes it as "lncRNA (ENSOCUG00000036765.1)". The record is from RNAcentral. Lineage: Eukaryota; Metazoa; Chordata; Mammalia; Lagomorpha; Leporidae.